AUUGAACGCUGGCGGCAGGCCUAACACAUGCAAGUCGAACGGUAACAGGAAGAAGCUUGCUUCUUUGCUGACGAGUGGCGGACGGGUGAGUAAUGUCUGGGAAACUGCCUGAUGGAGGGGGAUAACUACUGGAAACGGUAGCUAAUACCGCAUAACGUCGCAAGACCAAAGAGGGGGACCUUCGGGCCUCUUGCCAUCGGCUGUGCCCAGAUGGGAUUAGCUAGUAGGGGGGGUAACGGCUCACCCAGGCGACGAUCCCUAGCUGGUCUGAGAGGAUGACCAGCCACACUGGAGCUGAGACACGGUCCAGACGCCUACGGGAAGCAGCAGUGGGGAAUAGUGCACAAUGGGCGCAAGCCUGAUGCAGCCAUGCCGCGUGUAUGAAGAAGGCCUUCGGGUUGUAAAGUACUUUCAGCGGGGAGGAAGGGAGUAAAGUUAAUACCUUUGCUCAUUGACGUUACCCGCAGAAGAAGCACCGGCUAACUCCGUG
Molecule: ribosomal RNA, 490 nt
Filed under: uncultured bacterium
Lineage: Bacteria
Description: partial 16S ribosomal RNA
Rfam family: Bacterial small subunit ribosomal RNA
Source: RNAcentral